CUUGGCAUGACUUUUAAAAAUAAGAGAAUAACGGACAGACUUGAUACUUACCUCUAAAGCGUCUAGGUGACGUAUAUUCUUGCUUCCACAAUUAUUCCUCUAUAUAUCGGCUAUGUCUAAGGCUAUGAUGAUCUCUAAUAUCUAUGGUAAUGCUUCUUAGAGUCAUUGAGAUUUUACGUUUCCAUAUUGUAUUAAAGGUUCAUAAUCUUGAUAAAACAUUAAUCUUUGGUAAUACUCCUUGCUGGUUCACGUUGAUUGUUCUAUUGAGUUAUAAGAAAUGAUUUUAAUUGCAUAUGGUUGCUCAUAAUAUUCUGCUCGUGCAUAGAGUCAUUUAUCAUUUCACCGAGUCCCGGGCCGGGUAAUGUUCGUGCGGAGUUUCUUGCAUAUGUCACCGAGUUCCUCACUAGAGGGCCGGGUAUGUAUAUUAUAUAUAUGAUUGGUGAUGAGGAUGGUUAUGAUGAUGAUGAUGACGGAGAUGACGUGAUGAUUAUUUUGCCGAGCCCCUUACUAGGGAAGCUGGGCACCUUAAAUGUUAAAUAUAUGCAUGAUUUUCACUUAAAAGGUAUAUGUGUAGCGAUAUUUUGUUUCGACUUGCCAUAUUAGUAU
RNAcentral lists this long non-coding RNA (606 nucleotides) under Solanum lycopersicum (tomato). RNAcentral describes it as "partial TCONS_00102272". The record is from RNAcentral. Lineage: Eukaryota; Viridiplantae; Streptophyta; Magnoliopsida; Solanales; Solanaceae.